AGAUGAAACAGGAGAACAAAUGGUCAUUUAAAAUGACGGUGAAAAGCCAGAACAGUGGAGUGUAUGUAAGAUCUUGUGACAGAACAUGUGUUGUAACCACCCUUACAAACAGUCUAGAAAAGGGCUGUACAGAAGAAAAAAACACUUGUAGAGGACACGAGAGCGUGGGAUGGAUGGAGAAGAUAUUCAGGGUGACCCAACAGUGCAGAUUGCUUCUUUCUCCUGUAUACAAGAAAUCAUGGAUUUCACCUCAUUGUUCCCUUGAGCUUCAUAGAAGGUUCUCCUAUUUUUCCUGUGCAUCAGGCAUUAUCAAUAUGAAUGAGUUUAGUUACAGAGGCAGGACAUCCAGGGCAUGCUGAAGAACAUGAAGCAAUAUGACAAACUCAAGCAUGAAAUAUAAAACGGCUGAAGCAUAUCAGAGCAUGGGAAAAUAACUCCUGAUGAAGUUCUGGAUUGCAUUGUUACAGGGAGAAAAAGAAAUUCAUAGCCCAUCACCUUCCAACGAUGACCAAACCCACAGUUUAUAUUUCUCUUAAGUUCCACCAGGUUGAUUAAGCCCUGGAUAAAACAGUUUGCAGAAUGCAUUAAUGAGCAAGUUUUGCUACUACUGAUUUUCUGUUCCUGGCAAAGUGGGUGCAUCAGGAGAGAGACAGUGAAUAAAGCGAAGUCCUACGUGGAAGGCAUUAUGUUGUAGCUCAGCAUGAUGGAUAUCUCCUCAAACAUCAUUAGAGAGCUUGCGAGUAGAUUUCAAGCUGGAGGAAAGGAGGCCAGUUUGGGUAUCAGGUAGGAUUCCUGGCAGCCAUGACCUGCAAUGACAAGCUCUCUCUCCUGGGAGCCAGCUGACUGUAGAGAAGGAAACACCUAAGAGCAUCAGCCCAAAUUUAACCCUUUUGCUCGGUCAUGCUCAGCUGGAUACCUGUGGCUGACCACACGAAUGCAAGAUUUUAUUAUUAUUUACAUGUAAUGAUUCGACUCGGACAGAAACAACACAGACAUGUUUGCAGAACACAGGCAGAAUUCACACACACGCGGCCAUCUGAGCACACAGACACGGCUGGCACACUCCACAGGCACUGCUGUAAAACCGACCGACUUCCAUCACUGACUCUGCAGAUGCAGUUAAAAGCUGGUGGUUAAAGAAAGCAUUAAAACAUGAAAUUAAUAUAUGGUGUAAAAACAAGCCUAAGCCAACCCAAAGCAAUUGCAAGAACAGAGAGUAAAAUCCAUUUCUCUGAUGGAUGGAUACAGAAUUUAUGACUGAUGCCCUUCAUAUUCUCUAACUAGAAAGCGUACACAUCCCUUUCCAUGCUGCUCUGGAUCUCCUGCUUAGAGUUAUUCCACCACAAAUGAAAGCUGGAAAAAGUGGAGCUGUGUGAAUCUGUGCUUUGACACACAGCUGCCCAUUUCCAACGCGCCAGGGAUAUCACAGCCGGUCCUUCUGGAUGUGAAAUCUGCCUAUUUCCCCUACAAAAAGGUGAGAACUCCUUGAGCUGCAAAGAAUGGGCAUUCACAGGACACACCUCACGGCUGUGCUUGCUCUGUUGUGAGCGGCUCUGUGGUCUGGAAGUGUCCUAGGACAGCCCUGAGUGAUGGGGCCAGCGAGGACUGAGAUGGGGAGCUUUCCUGCCUCACACCUACAAAUACAGGAGCAUUACUCUGACAGGUUAUUACAUUUGAUUACUUCAGCUGUUUCUAAAUGACAGCAGCAGUUGCUCGCAAUAGCAUUAGCACAGCCUGAUCUAUUUGCUGGCUGUAUGAACCACAGUCUAUGACGCUUAUCAUCACAUUUUUCCACUGUUUACCUUCUCACUCAUUGCUGCAGAGACCCAUUGGCUGUUAGUCUUAGAAAGAAUGAGAUGGGGCCCAGCUGAGGUUCUUGUUCCAAAAGAGAUAGAGCUUUUGGCUGCCACGUGGUUCAGUAUGACUUGAAUUUUAUCAGACUGGACAGAACAGAAGCUGGCAUUUUCACAUAUUGUCAGCUUAAAGUAGCUUAAAAUUUCUCUAGAAAGCUGCUUGGUGACAAACCAGGAGAGACAGCUGCCUGCAGAACUCAGAAACACAACAUUUUGUACUGCAGCUCAUCAAUUUUAGUCUUGCAGCACUGUGAGUCCACAACCUUCACCCCCCCCUUUCGGGUCAACGGGCAGCUUCUCCUCUGUACAAGGAGACAGAGGAGUACAUUUUGCACUUUGGGGUAGAAAUUGAAAUAGAAGAGAUGCAGCUGGCCUAGCAACAAGCUGUGAGGAUGAUACCACGGGUCACAUUCUUUCAGAACAGCAGCUCUUCCCAGCCUAUAAGCUUAAGAAAUGCACAUGAGAAGGUACAUUAUUCAGAAUGAUACACCCCAAACAGCUCAUGUAUCAACAGGUAUUAUUUCCCCUCUAAAGAAAUCAGGACUAAAAUGUUGCCCCUAUUGCGUUACUCUGCAGAAACCAAAGUGGACUCCUUGGAGUCUGUAGCACUGAACCAUACAGUCCAGGCAGAAAUUGCUGAUGGAAGACUGGAAAGCUGGGGAGUUGUGCUGCAAUGGAUUUCUCAAAUCCAUGUUAGGUAAAUGCUGUCAGAAUGACAUACCUGCUUCUGCCUUGCUCUAGUCAACGCAUUCACAUGACUUCUUGCCCCUGUGGUCUGCACUGCAUGUUAAAUGAGCAAUACACAUGCCCACCUGCAAAGGGUACUUUUGGGAACAAACUUCCCAGGAUGCAGCACGCAGCAAAGGGGAGGUGCAAAUCACUCACAAAUACUCAACUGAGAAAGGGGUUGCUCUUGUAAAAGAGCUACUCACAAGACACUGGAUGGAGUGCCUAUGGCUGUGAUGCAUAAAGGAGGAAGGAAAGGAGAAAGAAUGGACGGGCACACUUGGAGGAUCAAAUCAGAGUCAGUGGUGACCCCACAGCAGGAAGACAAUUCUGACAGUACUGAAAAGAAAUCAUUACUGAGCACCAAGAAGCAGGCAAGGAUGCUGCUGGGCCUGUAGGACCAAGUCACAUUUGGCAGCCAGAGAGAGGCUUUGACUGGAAAGAGCAGAGCACUGAGGAUAAAUCCCAACUCACUGCAGACAGGUCUCCUUCAGAUGUAAGUGACAGCAGUUUCCUUCCUAGAGUGCAGGAGAUGUGGUCUCUGUAUGUACCCAUGGUUAGAAAUGUAACAUACUUGUCUGAUGGUGUUCAACUUAAGCAUCUCAACUCACCAUAACCAAGGUGGAACAGUUAACGCUCUGUGUUACAAACUGAAGUUUGCCCACAAAGAUGAAUUCGUUUGCAAACAACAAACAAACUCCACAACAGACACUGAAUUUGGAGCCUCAGUAUUGCCAGUCCUCCAUGUUCAGGGCAACACGGGCCUGUCUCAAGCAGUUACGGAACUGGCUUAGAAACCUCUACAUCUUUUAAUGUAGUACAGUUCUAGAGAUUCAUUAACUGAGGCCCGGAAGGAUAAUGAGCUCUGACCUCCUCCCUGUCCCAGGCUACACAAUUUCAGGCAGGUACCCCCACAUUCAUCUCACUGGCUUGUUCCUUUUUGCUUGACAACCCAGGGCACCCUCGUGGGGUUCCAACAUCAACUCUUCCAAUUUGCAGAACUUGUUGGAAUGGUAAAUAACACACGUUAUUAAGUAUACCCAUCUAAUUCAAAGACUGCUGUUGCAAAAAUGGCAUUUACCUUCAGAGGUUAGGGGCUACAAACAUCUAUCAACAAGUGGAAGCGAGGAGUCGCACACCACUUGACUUCAGAAUCUUUGGAAGGGCCUCCAACUGAGUAUUGGGGUGUAUGAUGAAAUCAUGAGAACCGACAAUACUGCACCACUGGUUGUUCAUCUUUUACCAGCUGACAAUCUGCCACGAGAAGGUCACUUUGUACUUGCAAUGAUAAACACACCGACACACAGCCUGGAUAUAGGCUUCCAUGAAAUGCAACUGAAAGUAAUUAGAGAUGAAAGCUAAGUCAGAAUUCCUUAGGAAAAAUAAGAGUGUAAAGAACUUCAGAACAAAAACCCUUAAGCAUAUCCAGAGAAAGGCAAAUUCCAGUGGCAAUGGAAGCUCUUGCCUUUAUCUGGAACUAAACUGGCUAAGCUGGGGCUGAAACAGUGAAAGUGAACAGGACAGAGUUGAAGAAAUCUGCCAGGAGAACUGAAGUUUUGCAUACAGAAUAUUCUAGUGGCUGGGCACGGGCGCCCUUUGGUUAGCCCUUUCCUCAGAACACUGACCUGAUUGCUCCUGAUGGAGUGUUCAGGGUGUCACUGCAUGGUGCAC
Molecule: long non-coding RNA, 4250 nt
Filed under: Gallus gallus (chicken)
Lineage: Eukaryota; Metazoa; Chordata; Aves; Galliformes; Phasianidae
Description: long non-coding RNA NONGGAT008822
Source: RNAcentral